RNAcentral lists this unclassified non-coding RNA (253 nucleotides) under uncultured Dehalococcoidia bacterium. RNAcentral describes it as "contains 16S-23S intergenic spacer region". It matches the Rfam family "Bacterial small subunit ribosomal RNA", at positions 524 to 776 of the family's 1533-position model. Lineage: Bacteria; Bacillati; Chloroflexota; Dehalococcoidia. The record is from RNAcentral.
UACGUAGGAGGCGAGCGUUGUCCGGAUUUACUGGGCGUAAAGAGCGCGUAGGCGGUCUGGUAACUCUUCGGUGAAAUCUCUCGGCUCAACUGGGAGGGGUCCGAGGAAAGUGCCAGGCUAGAGGGACGUAGGGGAGAGCAGAAUUCCCGGUGUAGCGGUGAAAUGCGUAGAUAUCGGGAGGAAUACCAGUGGCGAAGGCGGCUCUCUGGACGUUUCCUGACGCUGAGGCGCGAAAGCGCGGGGAGCAAACCGG